GGACUCGUAGCUCAGCGGCUUAGAGCGCUUCAUUGACAUUGAAGAGGUCACAGGUUCAAAUCCUGUCGGGUCCACCA
Molecule: transfer RNA, 77 nt
Filed under: Candidatus Roizmanbacteria bacterium
Lineage: Bacteria; Candidatus Roizmaniibacteriota
Description: tRNA-Val
Rfam family: tRNA
About the family: Transfer RNA (tRNA) molecules are approximately 80 nucleotides in length. Their secondary structure includes four short double-helical elements and three loops (D, anti-codon, and T loops).
Source: RNAcentral